AUCGCUUCUCGGCCUUUUGGCUAAGAUCAAGUGUAGUAUCUGUUCUUAUCAGUUUAAUAUCUGAUACGUCCCCCAUCCGGGGACUACAUAUUAAAUGGAUUUUUAGAUCACGGAGCUGGAGCUGGAGCCGGGGCUUGCUCCGUCCACUCCAUGCAUCGGCCUGGUAUUGCAGUGUCUCCAGGAACGGUGUGCUUUCC
Carassius gibelio (silver crucian carp) is the source of this 197-nucleotide small nuclear RNA. RefSeq annotates it as U2 spliceosomal RNA. The record is from RefSeq and is a predicted model, not a curated record. NCBI's taxonomy places the organism in Eukaryota, Metazoa, Chordata, Actinopteri, Cypriniformes, Cyprinidae. The transcript has a single exon.